Molecule: ribosomal RNA, 1145 nt
Filed under: Salmonella enterica subsp. enterica serovar Typhimurium
Lineage: Bacteria; Pseudomonadati; Pseudomonadota; Gammaproteobacteria; Enterobacterales; Enterobacteriaceae
Description: bacterial LSU rRNA
Rfam family: Bacterial large subunit ribosomal RNA
Source: RNAcentral
GGAGAAUGUUAUCACGGGAGACACACGGCGGGUGCUAACGUCCGUCGUGAAGAGGGAAACAACCCAGACCGCCAGCUAAGGUCCCAAAGUCAUGGUUAAGUGGGAAACGAUGUGGGAAGGCCCAGACAGCCAGGAUGUUGGCUUAGAAGCAGCCAUCAUUUAAAGAAAGCGUAAUAGCUCACUGGUCGAGUCGGCCUGCGCGGAAGAUGUAACGGGGCUAAACCAUGCACCGAAGCUGCGGCAGCGAACGUAUCACCCAAGACAACUUUACGGAGUUGACGAUUGACGGAGCGAAGCGACGUCAAAGCGUUCAUUAAAGUCGAGUUGGCUUAGGGAUACGUUCGUUGGGUAGGGGAGCGUUCUGUAAGCCUGUGAAGGUGUGUCGUGAGGCAUGCUGGAGGUAUCAGAAGUGCGAAUGCUGACAUAAGUAACGAUAAAGCGGGUGAAAAGCCCGCUCGCCGGAAGACCAAGGGUUCCUGUCCAACGUUAAUCGGGGCAGGGUGAGUCGACCCCUAAGGCGAGGCCGAAAGGCGUAGUCGAUGGGAAACGGGUUAAUAUUCCCGUACUUGGUGUUACUGCGAAGGGGGGACGGAGAAGGCUAUGUUGGCCGGGCGACGGUUGUCCCGGUUUAAGCGUGUAGGUGUGUGUUCCAGGUAAAUCCGGUUCACUUUAACACUGAGGCGUGAUGACGAGGCACUACGGUGCUGAAGCAACAAAUGCCCUGCUUCCAGGAAAAGCCUCUAAGCAUCAGGUAACAUCAAAUCGUACCCCAAACCGACACAGGUGGUCAGGUAGAGAAUACCAAGGCGCUUGAGAGAACUCGGGUGAAGGAACUAGGCAAAAUGGUGCCGUAACUUCGGGAGAAGGCACGCUGACACGUAGGUGAAGUGAUUUACUCACGGAGCUGAAGUCAGUCGAAGAUACCAGCUGGCUGCAACUGUUUAUUAAAAACACAGCACUGUGCAAACACGAAAGUGGACGUAUACGGUGUGACGCCUGCCCGGUGCCGGAAGGUUAAUUGAUGGGGUCAGCGCAAGCGAAGCUCCUGAUCGAAGCCCCGGUAAACGGCGGCCGUAACUAUAACGGUCCUAAGGUAGCGAAAUUCCUUGUCGGGUAAGUUCCGACCUGCACGAAUGGCGUAAUGA